GACGAACGCUGGCGGCGUGCUUAACACAUGCAAGUCGAACGGAAAGGCCCUGCUCUUGUGGGGUGCUCGAGUGGCGAACGCGUGAGUAUCACGUGAGUAACCUGCCCUUGACUUUGUGAUAACUUCACGAAACUGGGUCUAAUAUCGGAUAGGAUCUCCUGCUGCAUGGUGGGCGUUGGAAAGUUUCGGCGGUUGGGGCUGGACUCGCGGCUUAUCAGCUUGUUGGUGGGGUAGUGGCUUACCAAGGCUUUGACGGGUAGCCGGCCUGAGAGGGUUACCGGCCACAUUGCGACUGAGAUACGGCCCAGACUCCUACGGGAGGCAGAAGUGGGGAAUAUUGCACAGUGGGCGGAAGCCUGAUGCAGCAACGCCGCGUGCGGGAUGACGGCCUUCGGGCUGUAAACCGCUUUCGCCUGUGACGAAGCGUGAGUGACGGUAAUGAAUAAAGAAGCACCGGCUAACUACGUG
This 468-nucleotide ribosomal RNA is filed under the name uncultured bacterium. RNAcentral's name for it is "partial 16S ribosomal RNA". It matches the Rfam family "Bacterial small subunit ribosomal RNA", at positions 28 to 507 of the family's 1533-position model. The record is from RNAcentral.